UUGAACGCUGGCGGCAGGCCUCACACAUGCAAGUCGAACGGUAACAGAAAGCAGCUUGCUGCUUUGCUGACGAGUGGCGGACGGGUGAGUAAUGUCUGGGAAACUGCCUGAUGGAGGGGGAUAACUACUGGAAACGGUAGCUAAUACCGCAUAACGUCGCAAGACCAAAGAGGGGGACCUUCGGGCCUCUUGCCAUCGGAUGUGCCCAGAUGGGAUUAGCUAGUAGGUGGGGUAACGGCUCACCUAGGCGACGAUCCCUAGCUGGUCUGAGAGGAUGACCAGCCACACUGGAACUGAGACACGGUCCAGACUCCUACGGGAGGCAGCAGUGGGGAAUAUUGCACAAUGGGCGCAAGCCUGAUGCAGCCAUGCCGCGUGUAUGAAGAAGGCCUUCGGGUUGUAAAGUACUUUCAGCGGGGAGGAAGGGAGUAAAGUUAAUACCUUUGCUCAUUGACGUUACCCGCAGAAGAAGCACCGGCUAACUCCGU
This 488-nucleotide ribosomal RNA is filed under the name uncultured bacterium. RNAcentral describes it as "partial 16S ribosomal RNA". It matches the Rfam family "Bacterial small subunit ribosomal RNA", at positions 30 to 506 of the family's 1533-position model. The record is from RNAcentral.